AGAGUUUGAUCCUGGCUCAGGACGAACGCUGGCGGUGCGCCUUAUGCAUGCAAGUCGAGCGAAGCUUUUCAGUAGUUUACUACAGAAAAUGACUGAGCGGCGAACGGGUGAGUAACGCGUGAGCAAUCUACCUUAGUUACAGGGAUAGCCCGAGGAAACUCGGAUUAAUACCUGAUAUUCUUUAUAUUUCGCAUGAAAUUAAAAGGAAAGGUCAGCCGAACUAAGAUGAGCUCGCGUUCUAUCAGCUAGUUGGUGAGGUAAAAGCUUACCAAGGCUACGACGGAUAGCUGGUCUGAGAGGACGAUCAGCCACACUGGGACUGAGACACGGCCCAGACUCCUACGGGAGGCUGCAGCAGGGAAUAUUGCGCAAUGAGCGAAAGCUUGACGCAGCGACACCGCGUGUGGGAUGACGGAUCUAGGUUUGUAAACCACUUUCAGGAGGGAAGAAAAUGACGGUACCUCCACAAGAAGCCCCGGCCAACUACGUGCCAGCAGCCGCGGUAAUACGUAGGGGGCGAGCGUUGUCCGGAUUUAUUGGGCGUAAAGAGCUCGUAGGCGGUUCAACAAGUCGGUCGUGAAAGUUCAGGGCUCAACCCUGAAAUGUCGAUCGAUACUGUUGUGACUAGGAUACGGUAGAGGUGAGUGGAAUUCCGAGUGUAGCGGUGAAAUGCGUAGAUAUUCGGAGGAACACCAAUUGCGAAGGCAGCUCACUGGGCCGCUAUCGACGCUGAGGAGCGAAAGCUAGGGGAGCAAACAGGAUUAGAUACCCUGGUAGUCCUAGCUGUAAACGAUGGAUACUAGACGUAGGAACUGGAUUGACGGUUUCUGUGUCGCAGCUAACGCGUUAAGUAUCCCGCCUGGGGGAGUACGGUCGCAAGACUAAAACUCAAAGGAAUUGACGG
Molecule: ribosomal RNA, 904 nt
Filed under: marine metagenome
Description: bacterial SSU rRNA
Rfam family: Bacterial small subunit ribosomal RNA
Source: RNAcentral